Physeter macrocephalus (sperm whale) is the source of this 516-nucleotide long non-coding RNA. RefSeq lists it as uncharacterized. The transcript has 2 exons. Lineage: Eukaryota; Metazoa; Chordata; Mammalia; Artiodactyla; Physeteridae. The record is from RefSeq and is a predicted model, not a curated record.
GGCUUCUGUCGUGAGUGACACACGUGGGGCAGCUCGUUUGUUCUUCGUGCGGAAUCGACAUCAAGAGAUUUCGGAAGCAUAAUUUUUUGGUUACCGGGCAGCUAGUGAUCGUUGGUCCUGGCGCCCCUCCUUUACCAGGUUAGAAAAACAGAGUAUUAAUGUGUUUCAGUAGUUACAUGUAACGGAUUGAUUUAUGAACAAAUCAACAACCCAUCUCGCUUUUCUCGUAAACAAACAGGGAACGGGUUGGAGCCCUGGUGCGCGAAGAUAUCGCAUGCCAUAGAGCUAGUAAGUCGGUGCGCCAAAACUAAUGAGCCCGCUUGGCACUACUAUCGGAGCGCAUGCAUCUAGAGCCUGUGGGCUGCAACAAGAAAGGGCACCGCAAUGACAAGCCCGCGCACAGGAACGAAGAGUAGCCCCCGCUCUUCACACCUAGAGAAAACCCGCGCGCAGCAACGGAGACCCAAAGCAAACAAAAAUAAAUAAAUAAAUAAAUAAUUUAUUAAAAAAGAAAAA